RNAcentral lists this small nuclear RNA (22 nucleotides) under Arabidopsis thaliana (thale cress). RNAcentral describes it as "snRNA_17996". Lineage: Eukaryota; Viridiplantae; Streptophyta; Magnoliopsida; Brassicales; Brassicaceae. The record is from RNAcentral.
UCUUGAAUCUUUGUUCUUCUUG